This 66-nucleotide transfer RNA is filed under the name Enterocloster clostridioformis. It matches the Rfam family "tRNA", at positions 5 to 66 of the family's 71-position model. Rfam says of the family: Transfer RNA (tRNA) molecules are approximately 80 nucleotides in length. RNAcentral also lists the same sequence under 3 other names. Lineage: Bacteria; Bacillati; Bacillota; Clostridia; Lachnospirales; Lachnospiraceae. The record is from RNAcentral.
GCGUGUAGCUCAGUCGGUAGAGCACUUGACUUUUAAUCAAGUUGUCCCGGGUUCGAAUCCCGGCAC